GACGAGGGACCUAGCGUUGUUCGGAAUCAUUGGGCGUAAAGCGGGUGUAGGCGGGCUUCUAAGUCAGGUGUGAAAUCCCCAGGGCUCAACCCUGGAAGUGCACCUGAUACUGGAAGUCUUGAAUGUGGUAGAGGCUAUUAGAAUUCUUGGUGUAGUGGUGAAAUACGUAGAUAUCAAGAGGAAUACCGGAGGCGAAGGCGGAUAGCUGGGCCAACAUUGACGCUGAGACCCGAAAGCGUGGGGAUCAAACAGG
RNAcentral lists this ribosomal RNA (253 nucleotides) under uncultured bacterium. RNAcentral describes it as "partial 16S ribosomal RNA". It matches the Rfam family "Bacterial small subunit ribosomal RNA", at positions 524 to 776 of the family's 1533-position model. The record is from RNAcentral.